This 233-nucleotide ribosomal RNA is filed under the name uncultured bacterium. RNAcentral's name for it is "partial 16S ribosomal RNA". It matches the Rfam family "Bacterial small subunit ribosomal RNA", at positions 524 to 762 of the family's 1533-position model. The record is from RNAcentral.
UACGAAGGGGCGAGCGUUGUUCGGAUUUACUGGGCGUAAAGGGCGCGUAGGCGGCGCGAGAAGUCGAGUGUGAAAGCCCCGGGCUCAACCUGGGAAUUGCGCUCGAUACUCUAGUGCUUGAGUUCGGGAGAGGAGCGUGGAAUUCCCAGUGUAGAGGUGAAAUUCGUAGAUAUUGGAAGAACACCGGUGGCGAAGGCGGCGCUCGUGGACCGAGACGUGACGCGUGACGGCGG